Molecule: ribosomal RNA, 354 nt
Filed under: Klebsiella quasipneumoniae subsp. similipneumoniae
Lineage: Bacteria; Pseudomonadati; Pseudomonadota; Gammaproteobacteria; Enterobacterales; Enterobacteriaceae
Also listed under: 1 other name
Description: partial 23S ribosomal RNA
Rfam family: Bacterial large subunit ribosomal RNA
Source: RNAcentral
AUCAGAAGUGCGAAUGCUGACAUAAGUAACGAUAAAGCGGGUGAAAAGCCCGCUCGCCGGAAGACCAAGGGUUCCUGUCCAACGUUAAUCGGGGCAGGGUGAGUCGACCCCUAAGGCGAGGCCGAAAGGCGUAGUCGAUGGGAAACAGGUUAAUAUUCCUGUACUUGGUGUUACUGCGAAGGGGGGACGGAGAAGGCUAUGUUAGCCGGGCGACGGUUGUCCCGGUUUAAGCAUGUAGGCUGGUUAUCCAGGCAAAUCCGGAUAAUCAAGGCUGAGGUGUGAUGACGAGGCACUACGGUGCUGAAGUAACAAAUGCCCUGCUUCCAGGAAAAGCCUCUAAGCAUCAGGUAACAU